GAUGAAGAACGUAGCGAAAUGCGAUAAGUAAUGUGAAUUGCAGAAUUCAGUGAAUCAUCGAAUCUUUGAACGCACAUUGUGCCCCCUGGUAUUCCGGGGGGCAUGCCUGUUCGAGCGUCAUUUCACCACUCAAGCCUCGCUUGGUAUUGGGCAUCGCGGUCCGCCGCGCGCCUCAAAUCGACCGGCUGGGUCUUCUGUCCCCUAAGCGUUGUGGAAACUAUUCGCUAAAGGGUGUUCGGGAGGCUACGCCGUAAAACAACCCCAUUUCUAAGGUUGACCUCGGAUCAGGUAGGGAUACCCGCUGAACUUAAGCAUAUCAAUAAGCGGAGAA
This 331-nucleotide unclassified non-coding RNA is filed under the name soil metagenome. RNAcentral's name for it is "partial contains 5.8S ribosomal RNA, internal transcribed spacer 2, and large subunit ribosomal RNA". The stretch from base 1 to 120 matches the Rfam family "5.8S ribosomal RNA", at positions 35 to 154 of the family's 154-position model. The record is from RNAcentral.